AAAAAAUUAGCCAGGCGUGGUGGCAGGUGCCUGUAGUCCCAGCUACCUGGGAGACUGAGGCUGGAGAAUGGCAUGAACCCGGGAGGCGGAAGUUGCAGUGAGCUGAGAUCGCACCACUGCACUCCAGCCUGGGUGACCAAAAAAAAAAAAAAAAAAGUCCCAGGUGGUAAGUUCAUGAGUGGAUAAAAAUCUCAGUAUAGGUCGAAGCAGAUAUUGGUGGUUGAUGUUGGUGGUACAACAGUUCUUCUAGUUUCAUUUUCUUUUCCUACCUGGCCCUCUGCUUGGCAGAACUGAUAUAGAAAAAUCCACACACUCCCCAGUACACACAGCCCAAAUAUGUUUUUUAUAUGUUUAACAGUUUUAUUGAGCUAGAAUUUACUUACAAGAAGCUGCAGUAACGGAAAGUGUACAACUUAGUGAAUGUUACCAGUUGCAUAUGCCUGGGAAACCACCACAAUCAAGAUAAAGCCAGAUCUAUUAGAUUGGCUUCCUUGAAUGGGUGACCCAUUUUUUUUAUUCUUGGCAUUUUAUUGGCAGGUGGCAGAAACUCAGCCCACACUACUUAGGCAAAGAAGAGGGGCUAGAGAUGUGUGUAGUUGGAAAGUCCAGGAAUACACCAGCUUCAGGUAUGGCUGGCUUCAGGGGUUCAGAGGAUGUCAUGGGUGCCCUUUCUCCCCCUCUCAACCAAAUUCUCUCUCUAGAGCUGGCAAGAUGGCUGCUGGCAGUCCCCAACUAACAUUCUAUUUAGCAAUGCCUAAGAAAAGGAGCAGUCUCCUCUGAUGGCCCUGAGGAACUCCCAUAGGGCAGCUUUGGGUCAUGUGCCCAGCCCUGGAUGGGGUAAAAUCAGCACCGGGGAUGUGUUUGUGAGAGCUGGGUGUGCUCAUCUGUUCCCGAGUCCAAGGUCAGUGACGUCUCAGUGAUGUUAUGUCUGUAGCUUGAAGCUGGUAGUGGGGGAGUAUUUACACCAUGGAAAUUGGCAAAUGCUACAAAUCAAGGCUUUCCUCCCUGUCCCCUCUGCCUGCCCCCAGCUGGCCAUUAAACAGUUAUGUACACUACCGAGUCAGUCCUACCUAAAUCCAUGAAAUAGGUUCUCCUGAGGAAAGAGCUGUUCCGUUAAUAAAAGAGGAAAUUGACCCCAGUCAGACAGGAAUAACCGAGGAACUUCACUCUGCUGAAUUCAAAGCCACCUGCAGCAGACCUCAGGAAGGAGUCCUCCAAGAUAACAUCCCACCCCAAACCCCCAAGGGGACCAGACCAGGUUGAAUCCACUGCAGAGAUUGUUCAGCCAAUACGGACCCUUCUAGAAGAAGGGCCCAGGCUUUGUUCCUCUCCGACAGCUCACCUCCCUCCCCCUACCCCCGACCCCAACCCCCAACCACUGCCAGUCACAUUCUAUGGAAAAUUAAAGAACUUCCUAAGCCCGGCUGCUCUCUGCAAAGCCAUUCCAGCAACCUAGACCCGUGAUUUUCAGCUUGUUCAGCUAUUUUAAAACAACCCUCGCAAAGCAGCCCCAGAAAUGGGGGCUGCGGCUUGAUUUGAGGUUAAACAAAUAAGUACCAUUUAUCCACCAACGCUCUAGGAAUGAAAGAUUUCUUCAGGCUUAUUCCCAAGCUGUGCGCUCCAGAAAAGCUGCUGUCCCAAAUUGCCGGGUGCCAACCCAGUGUUCUUCAUUUCCAAAGAUACCUGGGGAGUUUUCAGCCGUGCUCUGCACAGAGCGCUAGGACGGAUGGCAGUGUGGGCGGCCAGGCAUGCCGCCUCAGCCUCCGCUCAGCCUCACCCUGGGUCUUCUUGGCUGUGUCAGCCUCUCAUCCCGGGACCCACAGAACCCUUGGAGCUCCCGGGGCAUUUCUUGGCCUGCUGGGAAAUGGCGCCUCUCCAUCUUAGGGGGCCCGGACCAGACUGCUGGCUGUUUGAGUCAGACAGCUUUUCUUCCCAUGUUUUGAGGGUAAGCAAGAACGAGAAAAAGGAAGAAAACAAAACAUAUUCUCAAACAAAUAAAACUGCACUCCAUCGGCCAGAAAAGCUGAGCCUCUCUGGGAUGUAGGGAACAGAAGCCACUCCACAGAGGACUCUCCCAUCCCUUUCUCUCUAGGAGACAUCCGUCUUUGUGCCCAAACUGGAAAUCUGAACCGCAAGCUCUCUCAUCUCCCUACUCUUGGAAGUUUUCUGUGGCAGAAACAAUAAUGUUCACUACACAGACCGUUGACUCCCCUGGGUUUCCCAGCUGUGCCAUAUGGCUAGCUUUGGCCGAUGAAAUUGAGCAGAAGUGAUACGUGUCAUUUCCAGAUGGUGCAGCUACAGCUGAUGGAACUUCCGUCAGCCUGGGUCCCUGAGUGAGUCUGUGGAAGAGAACUGCAACUGCCUGCCGACCUGCUGGGACAGACAACAUGAGCAAGAAGUAAGCUUUCGCUGGGCUCAGCCACUGAGACCCAGGGGCUGUUUGUUACCAUAGCGUUGCCUGGCACACCUGAUUCAAGCUCCUGACACGCUCUGUAGACUUUGCUGUGUUGUUCACUGGGAGGCACCAGCAUGCAUGAGAUAGAAAACACUUCCUUCCACUCUGGCCAAUA
RNAcentral lists this long non-coding RNA (2570 nucleotides) under Homo sapiens (human). Its description in RNAcentral is "HSALNT0001444". The record is from RNAcentral. Lineage: Eukaryota; Metazoa; Chordata; Mammalia; Primates; Hominidae.